Molecule: long non-coding RNA, 1825 nt
Organism: Passer montanus (Eurasian tree sparrow)
Lineage: Eukaryota; Metazoa; Chordata; Aves; Passeriformes; Passeridae
Exons: 2
Source: RefSeq, a predicted model, not a curated record
UUAUUCUAGCUGGGUUUUUAGUCUGGAAAAGUAUGAAAUGUGCAUGUUUACUACACCGCUGGGGUGGACUGGAGAUGAAUGGAACAUUCUGUGAGCAUGUACAGAUGGAACUUCACAGAAACAAAAGCAGCAACACGAAGCCAGAGCACAUCAGUAAUUUUAGCACCAUGGUGCAGUGCACUGAGAAAGGACUCUAAACUUCACCCUGGAGCUGGUGCCAUCCAAGCACUCUGCUGUAGCUCAUAUUCUCUUUUAUGCUCACCCUCCUGCCACCAGACUAGGCAAGGCUUAGGUUUAUCCCAGUUCCUAGAAUUCACAGCUACAGAAAGGAGCUGCCAAAGCAUGGAAGAUGCAAUCCUUGAAAUGGACACAUUUAAGAUUGUAGAUUGGUCAAGUACCUGGAGAGCCCAAGAGAACUACAGCUCACUCCUGCUUUUCAAAUGGAAAAGCACUAUUCAAAAAUUAAUGCAUUUACUCUCAACACCAUGUGAGGUAGUACUUUACAAAUGGAAAAACUGAAUACAAGAAUGUAGACAGAGUAAGGGAACACAAUACAGUGCAAAAUCAGGAGCAAAAUGCAAGCUGUUUCAUCAAAUUCCAGUUUGAUGAGUGAAAUCGUAUUUACCUUUAGAAAGCCCUUGAAGAUAUUGAAUAAAACCAAAACCAAGCUUUGAAAACACACAGUACUUUGUACCAAAAUAUGUUAAGUAGCAUAACUUGCUAAAUAGUAUAUAAACCAGCUAGAACUAUGUAUAUUAGUACAAAUGAAGAAGUGAAAUCUAAAGGGAUUAAAGUAUUAGCACCCUACAGUAAGUUUAUUACAUUAUGUUUUAUCCUGAGGCAUGUGAUUCAGAGUAGCUACACAAAAGUGGUUUUAUACCUUUUUUCCUCAUCCUCUUCACAAUUCCAUCACCAUUACUCUGCCCCCACCCCAAAUCAUUCCUUUCUACAGCCUCUUCCCAAUAUUUUAUAUUUGCUCAACAAUUUUAAAGUCGUUUACUCCUACUGUAUAAAUAACUCCCAGGUCACUCCCACAGAGUUUCAUGAUGACAAUGUUCCAAUUAAUCACAUUCUUUUCAUAAAUCCAUACUAAAAUAGGCCAAAACCAGUACUGCCAGUUCAGAUCCAGUUUACUUGUGGAGUUUUUUUGGGGAUUUAAGAAAACAUGUAGUAAUAUCAGAAAUGACAAAUUCAAGUCAGUCAAUACUGCCAUCCUAAUUACAAAGUGUAAUACUUUAGAAUCCUAAAAUCAAGAACCAUAGAAACAAAGAAAUAAAGUUUUUUGUUGGUAACAGUUGUCUCAACAAAACAAAUUGUGCAGAAAAGGUACUGGUCUUCCAAGAAGAGUUUGCUUGCUUUUAAUUCUUGUACUUGAACAAUCACUGCAGUCUUUUGUUACUCAAAAAAACUGUAUGAAUUAAUGAAAAUAAGCAAUAUUUUAUUUCAAUGCCAGAUUUAUGGUUUGUGUGUUACACUGGGGCUGGUUUGACUGAUAUUAAACAGAUAUGUCUGAAACACAAAGUAACAUAAAUUAGACAUGCCAUGAGACAUGUACAAUUAAUUUCUACUAAAAUGUGGAUAAUGAAACCCAUUUCUAUGCCAAUUCUUUUACACUUUUAAUGGUGAUAGUGACUAGUAUUUUAGUAAGAGGGUAAAAGUCAAUAAAAGGUAUGAGGACAGCCAUACAACUCAAAGAUACUGUUUGCACAGCUUCCAAUUCCACUGUGAAAAUACACCCCUCCAAAAUAGAAAUAGGCACUUCAUCUUUAAAAAUGAAGCACUCUUUUGUUCUUCAGUCAUCAUCAACAGUUGGCUUGAUUGUCAC